This 92-nucleotide transfer RNA is filed under the name Pleurotus eryngii. It matches the Rfam family "tRNA". From Rfam's summary of the family: Transfer RNA (tRNA) molecules are approximately 80 nucleotides in length. Their secondary structure includes four short double-helical elements and three loops (D, anti-codon, and T loops). Further hydrogen bonds mediate the characteristic L-shaped molecular structure. tRNAs have two regions of fundamental functional importance: the anti-codon, which is responsible for specific mRNA codon recognition, and the 3' end, to which the tRNAs corresponding amino acid is attached (by aminoacyl-tRNA synthetases). tRNAs cope with the degeneracy of the genetic code in two manners: having more than one tRNA (with a specific anti-codon) for a particular amino acid; and 'wobble' base-pairing, i.e. permitting non-standard base-pairing at the 3rd anti-codon position. The record is from Rfam by way of RNAcentral. Lineage: Eukaryota; Fungi; Basidiomycota; Agaricomycetes; Agaricales; Pleurotaceae.
GGCAACAUGGCCGAGUGGUCUAAGGCGCUGGAAUUAGGCGGUUACGGCUUAUCCAGUCCGAAAGGGCGUGAGUUCGAACCUCACUGUUGUCA